Molecule: ribosomal RNA, 521 nt
Filed under: Chanda nama (elongate glass-perchlet)
Lineage: Eukaryota; Metazoa; Chordata; Actinopteri; Ambassidae
Description: partial 16S ribosomal RNA
Rfam family: Bacterial large subunit ribosomal RNA
Source: RNAcentral
GUAAUCACUUGUCUUUUAAAUGAAGACCUGUAUGAAUGGCAUCACGAGGGCCUUACUGUCUCCUUUUUCCAGUCAAUGAAAUUGAUCUCCCCGUGCAGAAGCGGGGAUAAAAACAUAAGACGAGAAGACCCUGUGAAGCUUAAAGACGACAAGCAGACCAAACUAACCACCCCCAGAUAAAAGAACUAAAGCACUGGAUCCUGCUCUAAUGUCUUUGGUUGGGGCGACCACGGAGAAACAAAAAACCCCCACGUGGACUAGGAGCACUAAUUUAUUCCUUUCCCUCUCCUACAACCCAGAAUUACCUCUCUAAGUAACAAAACUUUUGACCAAAAAUGAUCCGGCCACGCCGAUUAACGAACCAAGUUACUCCAGGGAUAACAGCGCUAUCCCCUUCUAGAGCCCAUAUCGACAAGGGGGUUUACGACCUCGAUGUUGGAUCAGGACAUCCUAAUGGUGCAGCCGCUAUUAAGGGUUCGUUUGUUCAACGAUUAAAGUCCUACGUGAUCUGAGUUCAGACA